AGCUUUCUGCAGAGGCAAUAUCAAAACCAGUGAGUUCAUCUGAGGCAUGAUUUUUGUCAAUUGAAAACUUUCCCACUCCUCUGUCUUUGCCAAAUGGUCAAAUGAUAGUGAUCGACUCCCUUGCUAUAGA
Molecule: small nuclear RNA, 130 nt
Organism: Ictidomys tridecemlineatus (thirteen-lined ground squirrel)
Lineage: Eukaryota; Metazoa; Chordata; Mammalia; Rodentia; Sciuridae
Gene: U4
Rfam family: U4 spliceosomal RNA
About the family: U4 small nuclear RNA (U4 snRNA) is a component of the major U2-dependent spliceosome.
Source: Ensembl